GGCAAACAAGAAAAGAAAGGAUUUCCCUUAUAUCACUAGUGAAUUCCUCCCACAAGAGGAAGAACUACAAGAGUCGAGAAGAAACAUAAUGAGGCAGAACUAGAGAAGACUUUAAAAUAAAGUAGAAGAAAAGCGGGUGCUAGGUGAGAGAAAAAAAUGGUUGAGCCUGUUGAGGUUGUUCACAUGUAUGAGAUGGAACCUGUCGUUUAAGAUGAGGAUGAGACUGAAAAAAUGAAGGUUCUGACUCCCAAGCCCA
This 256-nucleotide long non-coding RNA is filed under the name Nicotiana benthamiana. RNAcentral's name for it is "long non-coding RNA (NBEN_LNC016805)". Lineage: Eukaryota; Viridiplantae; Streptophyta; Magnoliopsida; Solanales; Solanaceae. The record is from RNAcentral.